Molecule: ribosomal RNA, 602 nt
Filed under: uncultured bacterium
Lineage: Bacteria
Description: bacterial SSU rRNA
Rfam family: Bacterial small subunit ribosomal RNA
Source: RNAcentral
AACGCUUGCGGCGUGCCUAAGAAAUGCAAGUCGAACGGGGUAGAGCAAUCUACUUUAGUGGCGAACGGUCGCGUAACACGUAAGCAACCUGCCCGGAAGUGGGGGAUAACGGUCCGAAAGGGCCGCUAAUACCGCAUGUGGUCAAGUCCCGGCAUCGGGAUUUGUCUAAAGCCUUGUGCGCUUCCGGAUGGGCUUGCGGCCUAUCAGGUAGUUGGUGGGGUAAUGGCCUACCAAGCCGACGACGGGUAGCUGGUCUGAGAGGACGAUCAGCCGGAUUGGGACUGAGAUACGGCCCAGACUCCUACGGGGGGCAGCAAUUAGGAAUCUUGCGCAAUGGGGGCAACCCUGACGCAGCGACGCCGCGUGCGGGACGAAGGCAUUCGUGCCGUAAACCGCUUUUUUGGGGGAAGAAGGAUGUGACGGUACCCCAAGAAUAAGCCCCGGCUAACUACGUGCCAGCAGCCGCGGUAAUACGUAGGGGGCGAGCGUUGUCCGAAGUUACUGGGCGUAAAGCGCGCGUAGGCGGUCCUUUAAGUCUGAGGUGAAAGGUUCAACGCUCAACGUGAACAGUGCCUUGGAGACUGGGGGACUUGAGUGUGGGA